CGUAGGGUGCGAGCGUUAAUCGGAAUUACUGGGCGUAAAGCGUGCGCAGGCGGUUUUGUAAGCCAGAUGUGAAAUCCCCGGGCUUAACCUGGGAAUGGCAUUUGGGACUGCAAGGCUUGAGUGCGGCAGAGGAGACUGGAAUUCCUGGUGUAGCAGUGAAAUGCGUAGAUAUCAGGAGGAAUACCGAUGGCGAAGGCAGGUCUCUGGGCUGACACUGACGCUCAUGCACGAAAGCGUGGGGAGCAAACAGGAUUAGAUACCCUGGUAGUCCACACCCUAAACGAUGUCGACUGGUUGUUGGGGGUUUGACACUCUCAGUAACGAAGCUAACGCGUGAAGUCGACCGCCUGGGGAGUACGGCCGCAAGGUUA
RNAcentral lists this ribosomal RNA (371 nucleotides) under uncultured organism. RNAcentral describes it as "bacterial SSU rRNA". It matches the Rfam family "Bacterial small subunit ribosomal RNA", at positions 526 to 896 of the family's 1533-position model. The record is from RNAcentral.